GAAAAAUUGGGAAUUUUGAGAGAGAGAGAGAGAAUAAAAGUAGAGGAUAAGGCCGUAGGAGAAAUACCAAUCUUCAUGGACACCCUCUUCGCCCUUCUCUAGUAUAUGAUUUCAAUUUUCAAUGAUGUGAUGUAAUUUGUCUUCAUUUUUCAUUUUUUUUUUUUUUUUUUUUGGAGAGAGACAGAGAGAUAGAGGUCGGAGAGGGAAUCUGUAGCUCAUAUAGAGGUAGUGUUGGGUUUAGGCUUGUGUUGGCUUGUUGGAGAGAUGUCAGGAGGUGGUGGUUGCGGCAUAGUUUGGUUCAGGAGGGAUCUAAGGAUUGAAGACAACCCUGCACUUGCUGCUGGUGUGAGGGCAGGAGCUGUGAUAGCAAUUUUCAUAUGGGCACCGGAGGAAGAGGGUUCUUUCUAUCCUGGCCGGGUCUCAAGAUGGUGGCUGAAGCAGAGCUUGGCUCAACUUGACGCCUCCCUGAGGAGUCUGGGUACUUCUCUCAUCACUAAAAGGUCAAAUGAUAGUGUCUUAUCUCUUGUUGAGGUUGUCAAAUCUACUGGUGCCACUCAUCUCUUCUUCAACCACUUAUAUGAUCCCAUAUCACUUGUAAGGGACCACAGGGCAAAGGAGCUUCUUACUGCUCAGGGCAUAGUUGUGCAUUCCUUUAAUGCUGAUCUUCUCUAUGAACCAUGGGAAAUUAGUGAUGCACAGGGUCGCACCUUCACAACCUUCUCAGCCUUCUGGAACAGGUGUCUUAGCAUGCCUUAUGAUCCAGCAUCUCCACUACUUCCACCAAAGAGGAUAACCUCAGGUGAUGUAUCAAGGUGUCCUUCUGAUAUUUUGGUAUUUGAAGAUGAAUCGGAGAAGGGAAGCAAUGCACUACUUGCACGUGCAUGGUCACCAGGCUGGAGUAGUGCUGAUAAGGCUCUAACAGCCUUCAUUAAUGGGCCUUUGAUUGAGUACUCUGUGAACCGUAAAAAGGCUGAUAGUGCUACAACCUCAUUUCUGUCACCCCAUUUGCAUUUUGGGGAGGUAAGUGUGCGCAAAGUCUUCCAUCUAGUCCGCAUCAAGCAGGUUCUGUGGGCCAAUGAGGGAAACUUAGCAGGUGAAGAGAGUGUGAACUUGUUCCUCAAGUCCAUUGGUCUUAGGGAGUAUUCAAGAUAUAUGAGCUUUAACCACCCUUACAGUCAUGAAAGACCUCUCCUUGGGCACCUAAAGUUCUUUCCCUGGAUUGUUAGUGAAAGUUAUUUCAAGGCAUGGAGGCAAGGUCGAACUGGUUAUCCUUUGGUUGAUGCUGGGAUGAGAGAGCUCUGGGCCUCUGGUUGGCUACAUGACCGGAUACGGGUUGUGGUGUCCAGUUUCUUUGUGAAGGUUCUGCAGCUGCCAUGGAGAUGGGGAAUGAAGUAUUUCUGGGAUACCCUAUUGGAUGCGGAUUUGGAAAGUGAUGCUCUGGGUUGGCAAUAUAUAUCUGGGACUCUCCCUGAUGGUCGUGAGCUUGACCGCAUCGAUAAUCCACAGAUUGAAGGUUACAAAUUUGACCCAAAUGGAGAAUAUGUACGACGGUGGCUUCCCGAACUUGCUAGGCUACCUACUGAAUGGAUUCACCACCCAUGGGAUGCACCAGAGUCAGUACUCCAAGCUGCUGGGGUUGAAUUGGGAUCAAACUAUCCUCUUCCCAUCGUAGGACUUGAUGCAGCAAAAGCCAGGUUGCAGGAAGCUCUUUCAGGGAUGUGGCAGCAAGAAGCAGCUUCAAGAGCUGAAUUUGAGAAUGGAAUAGAGGAAGGGCUUGGAGACUCCUCUGAAUCAGCCCCAUUUGCCUUUCCUGAAGAGCUACAAAUGGAGGUAGAGCAUGAACCAGCUAGGAACAACCCAGCUGCUGCAGUCCGUCGAUAUGAGGAUCAGAUGGUUCCUAGCAUUACUUCUUCACUGCAAAGGGUUGAAGAGGAAGAACCUUCUGUGGAUCUCAGACGUUCAAAUGACAAUAACAGACCAGAAGUGCCAACAACCAUAAAUGUGGGUCCAGAACUUCAGAGAGAAGCACCAAACCAGGGAGGUUUGCAAACAAUUCGAAACAAUAAUAUUCUGCCACAGUUAAACUUUUUACAGUUGCAAAAUGCAGAAGAGUCUACAGCAGAAUCUUCAAGUAGUAGUGGAAGAGAGAGAGAGGGGGGUAUUGUGCCAGUUUGGUCUCCCUCAUCUUCUAGCUACUCAGACCAGUUUGUGAAUGACCAAAAUGGUCUAGGAAGCAGUUCAUCUUACUUGCAGCGACAUCCCCAGUCUCACCAACUGAUGAAUUGGACAUAGCGUUCAAAAUCUAGCAUCUUGUUCAUGCUUAUCUUUUCUGGAUAUUUAAUCUUCAGAGAACCCAAAGAAAAUCUUGCAAAAUAUUUUGACAGUGUUAUCAGAAAAAUGGGCAAGAAUCUGGAAAUUGGACAAUACAAUGCCAUGCCAUUAUUUAAUGUGGUUGGCUAGCGCGAUGGUGGAGCAGCCUCCAUGUGUAUUGUUCUCCAUCACUCUUUUCACCCUCUGGCCUGAUCUGCAGCCUUGCUUAGAAGCUUCUGAAAGCAGAUUUGGACCUGGAACUCGUUAAUUCAUCUCCCACCCUUGUUCUUAAAUUUCCUUUUGUACCAUAUGUAGCCUUGUUGUAUAGUAGUAGUUAACAUCUUUGUAAGGAAAGAGAAGAGUGUGAUGAAAUAGAUGUGUUCCAUAAUAAAUUCAAGAAGGUGUUUUCCUCGUUUUA
Molecule: RNA transcript, 2728 nt
Organism: Macadamia integrifolia
Lineage: Eukaryota; Viridiplantae; Streptophyta; Magnoliopsida; Proteales; Proteaceae
Gene name: cryptochrome-1-like
Exons: 6
Source: RefSeq, a predicted model, not a curated record